CCUUCACCACCUCCUCAAAUAAAUUUCAAAGUGUAGUAGUCAUCCUUCUUUCAACUUCUAUGAAGUCACCUUUUAUAUAUGAGUUACACUAUCCCGUAUUUGUGUUUCCAUGUUUGACUAAGCUCAUUUAGCAUAAUAACAUCCAUUUUCUUCUGGCUGAAAAUGACAAAGUUUUAUCAUUUUAGAAAGGAAUAUUAUUUUUGAGUAUAAACCACAUUUUCUUUAUCCAUUCAUCAUCUGAGAGAUACCUGCGUUUCUUUCAUCUCUUGUUUCUAGCAAGUACCAUACCAGUCAGGAUGAUGUACUUGCCUUCAUUUAGAUAUGUAAAGUAAGGUUUCGAGGUCAUAUGGGAGUCGUGUUUCUAGCUUUGUUUUAUAAUGAGGAAAUUCUAUUUUUCUCUUUUGAAGGGUCCUGCCUACAGUGUACAGCAUUUCUCAUUUUCCUACCCUCACAAACAUUCAUUAUCCUCUUUUAUUAUUUAUUUUAUUUUUGAGAUUACAAUGUAAUUACAUCAAUUCCCUUCUCUUUUCUUCCCUUCAAAUAGUCCCAUAUGUCUUCUUGCUCUCUUUCAAAUUUAUGGCCUCCUUUUCUAUGUUAUGCUUACCUCAAGGAGAUGCUCUAAGCGGAGUGCAUGGAUCUCCCUGGGGAAGGGAAAUAAAAUAGAAUUUGCAGGUGGACUUGGACAGAUGGAAAUGAGAACAGGAGGGAGUAGGUGUGAGGACGAAUGGAGGGAGAGAGUAAGGGAGCGAAGACUAGAAUUAGAAGGCAUUUGGGAGGGGGCAUGUAGAAACUGCAGUAAAAUCUCCCUAUAGUCUACAAGGGUGACCCUAAGCAAGUACACCUCAUAAUAGAGGAUAUGAAGUCAUCUUCUAUUACCAGGCAACUGGAGUGAGGGGACUUGGACAGUAAACCAGCCAUGAAAUCUUGAACAUCAAUCCUGCCUUCAAGAUAUAUUGGGGAAAUGGAGGCACGGAACUUGUGGGAGUGACCAACCAAUGACUGGUCAGAGCUGAGGUCGUGUAAUGAAAGGACAUGCUUAAUAUUGCCUGGGUGUCCAGAAACAAAAGUCUAGAUCGCCCAAAGACUUAAGAAACAAAUGUAUAAAAUUAUUUUUAAUGAUAUUCUGCUAUACUCAUACUUAGGUAAUUAGCCCAGUAGUUCACAGAGAGGCUUCUGCUGGUAGCUGAUGGGAGAGAUGCAGAGACCUACGUCUAACAUUAGGUGGAAAGAGCCCAGUGGACCAAACUGGAGAUGUCCAUUGUGUACCUCCUCUUGGAGCUUUCAGAACUUUGCAAAAAGGGGAGCAAGAAUUAUAGGAGUCAGAGAGGCCGAAGAUACCAGGAAAACAUGGUCCAACAGACAUCAACUGGUCUGUAGGGACUCAAAGAGACUAGAACCACAAUCAUGGAGCCUGUAUGGUUCUGCAAUACGUCCUCUGCAUAUAUGUUAUGGUUAUAGUUUGGUGCUUCUGUGGAUCAUCAAACAGUGUAAAUGGAGGAAUAUCUGACUUUUUUGCCUGCUCUUGAGACAAUUUUCCUCCUACCAUGUUGCCUUGCAUAGCCUUGAUAUGAGGCUUUGUGCCUUGUCUUAUUGUAUCUUGUUAUGCUGUGUUCUGUUGACAUCUCUGGGAAGCCUGUCCUUUUCUGAAGAGAACAGAGGAAGAAAAGUAUAUCUGAGGGAGUGGGGAGGUCAGGAAAGCAACUGAGAGAAAUGGAGGCGGGGGCGGAAACUACAUUUGGGAUGUACUGAAAAAAUAUUUGCAUAUAUGUGCAUACAUAUAUCCCUAGGUACAACCUGCUCAGUCUGUACAAUGUUAUUUGUGUGUGUGUGUGUGUGUGUGUGUGUGUGUGUGUGUGUGUGUGUGUGUGUGUGUGUAUUCUCAUGGUUGAUCAUUUUAUACUGAAUAAGCAAUUAGUGUGCUCUUCCCUGGAGAAGUCAAUUUCUCAUCUUUUCAACAUUCCUUAGUUGCCUGUAGUUCAGUGUAUAAAGCUGAGGCCUUGUAGUCUUCCAUUCAUCUGCUUGGGCAUGUCUUUAUCACUCUGACUGUUAUCUACCUCAUCUUGGCUUUAAUUGAUAUUUACCCAGUGAAUUAUUACAUUGAGCAUUUUUUCACAUACUUGCUGCCUAUUUAUCUUUAUUAAUUUAAAAAAUCUCCCUUCAAGUCAUUUGUUUCUUUUCAGGUCAUCUAUAAGUCACAUCACUUAUUUUUAAAUACUAAGCUCCUUUCACUUCUGUAUUAUCAAUCUCUCAUCAAUUCAAUAUUUUAAAAAUUCCUUUUUCCAUUUUGUAAGUGUUUUUGUUGAUGGAAUCCUCUUCACAAAUUCCUUGCUUUUCUAAUCUACCAAUUUGAGGUCAUAGCCAAUUGUCUGCCUCCACAAAGGUCUUAAGCUCUCCCCUAAGUUAUUGCUUUAAUGGCUAUCACUUUGCAGGAUAUUUUGAAACCAGGUUGUUAUUGUAAUAGUCCUGUUUUCAUUUUUUUCUUAAAAUAUUUGUGUAUUCAGGGUCGCUAUGGUUCUCUACAAAACUUAACCCUUAACAAACAUGUGUUAUUGUUUUAAAACAUUAUUGUAGGCAGCCAAAUUUCCAGAGGUGCACAGACAUAUCACCUUUGUCAAUUUUAACAAGGAAUUUCCAUCCUUGGGAAAGGAGCACAGGCAAGAUAUUUGAUCUAUAUGGAAUAAUAGAUACCACAGCAGAACCCAGGAAACUGAAUGUAGGCACAUUUUGAGGAGUGUACCUCAGUUAAUCCUACUAAAUAUGCAGCUCUACUACAAAAGAUAUUAGCCUAAUACAUAGAGAGACAGAGUAUGAAGGAUAGACACAGAAGAACACUGUCAAAGGAUUGGUAAAAGAUGAGUAUGCUGAAAAGGAGGGGAUAGUGAAGGGAAGGAGAACGCGGUCAGAGACAGUGAUGGAGAAGAUAAGUAGACUUAGACCAUGGGAGACCUUGCACCAUGUAAAACAGUUUGCAUGCUUUGUGGAUACAAUAGACGGACACAUAGACUGAGAAACAAAUUGCUUUUCUUUCAGGUCAGUCACUCUGUCUCUUGAAGAGCAAGGUGCUCUGAACAUUUCUUAUGCGCUAGGUCAAUGGAAACAACCCAAAACUCUAAUAAAAAUAUACUCAAAUAUUUGUCCUCCCUGAAAAUGACUAUAAUUAUGACAAUAUAAGGUGAUAUACAACUAAUCAUAACUUUGUUAUUUCUUUUUUAGUUCAAAAUGCUUUUACAGUCACUUAUACAUUAUCAUUUAUAAUAUUUUAAUGAAAAACCAUGACAUUAUAUUUUAUUAACUUGAAAAUGUUAGCUUCACUUUUGGGGAAAUAGUGAGUUGAAGUCUGGUUUAAACUUUACUUCAUUUAGAUGGUUUAAAUAGCUGUCAUUUCUAAAAUAUGUAUCUGCCCAAGGCACAUUAAGCUGAGAUAGAAGACAUAGUUGGCUGUAUUUAAUGAAUGCCAACAUUCAUUAUUUUGAUCUCAACUAAUUUAUGUUUGUAAACUUUAAGCUCAACUUCAAUAUGAACUCAGUUUUACACUUGUUAUGUAACGGUUUACACUGGUUACUCUGUUCUUCUGUGCUGAGGAUUGAACCAAAGGCCGUGCGUGUGCAGGGCAAGCUCCUCCCACUGAGCUACAGCCUUACCUACCCCACCUUGUAAAGUUUUCUCUGCUCUGAUAUACAUCCAUCAUACUGGAAAGCUAAUUAGAAAAGAUAGCAUUUGCCUAUUUUUUUGUGCUUUCCAUUAAGAUAAUUAUAGAUUUAUAUGCAAUUUUAAAAAAUCAUACAAAGAAAUCUGUUAUAAUAUGUUCCCAGUCUCCUCUAAUGGUAACAAUUUGCAAAACUAGUAAUAUCAGGGAAAGAAGCCUCUAUAUGCCUUGCCUUUAAGUCACUGUGAUUCAAACCACAGUCUUAAUGUUUGUUAUUCUGUUAGCGAUGGCACACCCAACUAUAUUUAUUCACCUGAAGCUUCAGACUCAAAAUUAAAAAUUUCUAGAAGACCUUCAGAAGCAGUUAACUCGGAGGACAAGAAGCAAUAGCUCAGGCUACAGGGGUGGGGGGAUCUGACUCCUGAGGCAUCGAAGGACAUAUGAGCAUGUAUGCACUUACUCUCUCCCAUACACACACAAGCAAAAAUAAAAUCUAAAAAAAAAAGAUAUAGAGUUGUUAUUUGGGGGUCAUUUGUACAACUAGAGCUUUUAAGCCUGAAUAUUUUUAAAGUUCUGUAGGUCAAACCAACCCAUGGAAAGAAAAUAGUUUAUUCUCCUGCCCAUCGAAGUCAGGAGAGCCAUGGGAAAGUUGAAGAGGGGAAAAUAGUUUAUACUUAAUUGUUUAUAAUAUUGUAUAAGUCUAGAUUGGAUAUAUUAUUACUUAAUAUUACCCAUAGAAAUGUAGAAACCUUUCUCUCUCUUGUAAGACUUACUCUUGUAGCAAAGAGAAACAGCAACAUGUUAGAGUUAUAUCUUGCUAAAAAAUAUCCUUCUACCUCAACGUGUGGAGGAAUGUCAAUCAAGGGCAUGGGCAGCCACAUUUUAUGGGUGAUAAAGUUUGUAUUUCUUGAAAUUAAAGCAGUUCUAGACACAUAGUGGAUAUUCAGUAAAUACUUAUUGAUUGUCAAUUGUAAAACUUUUAAUGAGAUUUCUGUAUUCAUUUACUGUGUUGCUAGCAGAAUCUAGACCUCCAACUUUUAUUGAAUACACUGUAUCACAUAGCUUCUGCCUUUAUGGCUUAUUUUCCAUUGGAGAAAAACUUGUUUUCUCAGCACAGAGGAAAUAAUGAGGACCAUAAAGCCUGCUCUUUUUAAAGCAUUUAUAGUAAAAUAAUUUAGUUCUCUGAGUUUUUACAUUUCCCACAACAGAACCAAGUUUUCUUUGGUAUGUUGUUCAACUAAAUAAUGUUGUAAUGAAUAAUGAAUAACAGCAAUCUACUGCAUACAAGUAGAUUUUCUCAGACAGUUGCAUAUGGUAGAAAAGUGUUUUCAGAGUGAGUAGGCCUGGGGAAUAUUCAGAGUGUUCAAUAAUGCAAGAGCAUAGAGAUUGAAACUUUCUUGUGACUGAAUACUGUUUACAGGCUAGCAUGACUGGACAGAGAAUGGAUAUGAACUUUUAAAGAACUGGAAAUUGUAUGUGGAUAGAAUAACAUACAAGUGCAAAUCAUAACUUAAUUUCUUGAAUAAAUAAAAUAAAGGAAUUCUCAUUCAAUUCCUAGCUUGGUAACUAUUGGGCUUCAGCCAUUGUCCUCUUAGAAGCCCCCUCUGGCAUUCCCAUGCCCUGCUAAGAGAGCAAUGACCUUCCACACUGGCAACAGCACUAGACAGUGCUUUGCAGCACAUUGCAAGGACAUACACAUUAGUUUUAUCUCAAGUUGCUGGUUCCUGUUCACUCCCAAAGAGUAGUGUUUCCCUGGCUGUCCUAGAAUUCAAUCUGUAGAUGAGGUUGACAUUGAACUCACAGAAAUCUGCCUGCCUGUGUCUCCCACGUGCUGGAAAUAAAGGUAUGCACCGCCACCACCCAAAAACAGGUGAGCAAUUAAAUUUGUCUAGAGCUUAUCUGUACUAUUGGCAAAUAUCAUUUUGCAGUUUACAUUUCUAUAGGAACCUAAGUCAAAGAUAAAAACAAUCUUGCCAUCAUUGAAUCAAUAGUUUUCAAAGAUUUAAAAUGAUGAUACUGUUAUCAUUAUUUUGACCAAAAUUCAUUUCUUCUGCAUCUGUGAUUGAUAGAAGAGCUGUAUAGUUCCCUAAGCAACCUGCAAUAAAAAAGAAAUAUGUAGAAAUUCCUUUCCCCAGGGACCAGGAAACCCCAUGGAAGAGGAUAAAAGUCAGAAAGAAUGGGGGCUAUCCAGAAAACGAGACCUCUAAAUCGCCAUGAUUAAAAUUCUUAUGAAGUCACGGAGACUGAGGCAGCAUGAGAGCCUUCAUGAGAUUCUCUGCUAUUCUCCAAGUCAUGUGUGUCAUUGUUGUGGACGAAUUACUAGAGAUGAGACCAACAAAGAAUACCAGACCAGAGGGAAACUAAUAUUCCUUGACCUCAUCCAGUGGAAACAUACUGUCUUUUGAAAUAAUUACUGUGGAAGCAGAAAAUCCUUACUGGUUGAAAGCCUGAGUAUGUGUGUUAGAAUAAAGGUUAUAGACAUUUGGAAGUCAUAAAUAUAUUUGUAUAAUGGAUCUUCCAUAAGUGGCUGCCUCCCUAUCAUUUGUAUAUGUAACAUUUUGAAAGAUGAAGAAGCCUUUUAGAAAUUGGUUUCUAAAUAACUCUACUUAAAUCACGGUCUUAGUACUAUUCCACUGAGAAUUAUUUUUUGCCCUUAGAAAAUAUAUUUUAUAUUGUGAUUUUCUAAGUAAUUUUAACUUUGUCUCAAAACAAUGGCUUUGUGGUAGUCAAGGCUAUGGAUGAAAUCUGUCAUUGAAAACCAGUACUGUAGAUGGGACCUGUAUUUAUCCAGGGGUCUGUUCAGCAUCAAAGAACACAACUAAGGACAGUGGGUGAAGGAGUCCAGACUCGAUUGCUCUGGAAAUGCACAUAUAUAAUCCUCAGUGGGUCUUCAGAUGUCCCACAAAAGACUUAGAUAACACAAUCUACUCUAUAUAUGUAUUGUCAGGCUCAGAAUAGUAAAUGUAGGAAGCACAUGAGAAAGACAUCUACUAGUUAGUGCUGUUACUAAAGCUGAGGAUCUGCAAACCUCAUAGCUUGAUUAUACACCAAGUGAUGUCCCAACUCCUGCUUAACCCAAGCACAGCCUUCUUUGAACUUGUACAAUACUCUUGCCCUCCUGUCCACUUGUCUAAUUUGAGUGCACAUUAAGGGUCAUCCAAUGAGUUUUUCAUGCAGUGUUUAAUUUUCUUCCACAACAAAAUAGCACUACAAAUGAAUAAUGAACUCCUUAUUCAUGGCAGGGCUCUAAGUUCAAUCUAUUUCAAUAUUUAUUGGUGAUAAAACUUUGGGAGACAUCCAUGAAUUUUUCUGUAUCCAAUAAAAUUAUUUAAAUUGUUGAAAUCCUGGCAGCCUCUGGGAGACUACUAGUUAGUUAUAAAAUGUGUUUGUCAAUGCAGUCCCUGCCUAGCACAUGCAAACAAACAAAAUUAUACAUGAGAAGAGUACUGGAGAGAUGGCUCAGAAGUUAAGAACAUUGUAAAACUCAAGUUUAAUUUUGAGCUUCCGUGUCAGGUAGCUUACAAGCAUCUCUAUCUUCUGCUCCAGAAAAUUGGACAUUUUCGCCUGGCACCUUCUAUCACCUGCUCUUGUGUUGCUUGCCACAUAUGCACACAUAUCUUUUAGAAAAUUUCUAGACAGAGAAAAGUAAAAAGUGAAAAUUGAAAGAAAAUUCUCUGAUAUCCAGUCAAUUCCCAUAUUGCUAAUAUCCUGCUGCUGUUCCCUUCUCAGAGCUAAAUAAACUAAGGAGAUAAAAUAUUUAGGGCACACUUCAUAUCAUAAACUCAUUCUUUAGGAUUUGUGAGACUUUGAAGCCAUAGGCAGAAGCUGUCUGGCAACAAGGAAUACAUGGAGUCCAGGAACCUGGGCUUUCCAGGCCCUCAGCACCCUGCUCACUUGAACAAGCCAGAAAUGCAGAAGUUUCUUAACAAAGCCACCCAUUACUUUUAGUUGUCUUGAAUGCUAUGAAGAAUUCAGAGAAGCUGAAACUCUGAACAGAUCUUUAAAGAAAGUAGGAACUGUCCUUUUGUUCCUGGUUUGGGGACUAGUAGAAGACUGUCUUAGAGUUUUCAGAGAAACAAGGAUAAAGGAGCAAACCAUGAACACUCAUUAAAGCUGUGUCUCAGAUAACUCACAGACUACACACUGAGCUUUAGCAUGGCUCAGGCUCGACUCGACCAUGGCUCAGGCUUGACUUGAGCAGCAAAUCUUUUCUGGAACUCUUCAAUGUGCUCAGCAGAAGAACUUGGAGCUGAAAACAAAUUUAGCAUUAGCAGUUCAGAAAUUGCAGCUUCUGAAAUGAGACAUUCCCUGAGAAUGGGCUGAGAGGAACAGAAAUGAAGCUACACAGACGUGGUUGGUGAAGGAAACAGGAAGCCUUUAUAGAGGAUCAGAGGUGCUUUGGAGGCAAGUCUUAGAAAGCUGUGAUAGUGCCUUCUGAAAGUCUCUACUUCUGCCUCCUCUGGUUGGCAGGGGCUUCGCUCAGUGACCUUAUGAAAACAGCGCUCUUGUUUUUAUGUCUGGCUAAGGCUGAAUAGUUAAAAACCACCAGAUCCAUUUACUCAUAAUUACAGGGACAUUGUAAAAAAAAAUCUGGUCCUACUAUGUGCCCAGCACUGUUCUUAGCACUUUUGUUUAUUAGCUCUGUAUUUCAACAAGCCCUCAUCUCACACCAUUUUCCUGACAUACAUGCCUGUGAGCAUCAGCUACAGGAUGUGCCAAUUAGAUCAGUCUGGCUCUGAUGUCUCCCUGAAACUCUAACUCAAGAUCUAAAAGGAUGUCCAGCCACAUUCACAGGGAAAGCAUACAAAUUUGAGCUAUCCUGAGAUAUGUUUUUGCUUAUUGGCUUUACAAAAUCAGUGUUUCAACACGAUAAAUCAUCUCCAUGUAAUACAAAGGGGGCAUUUUCAUGGAUUUUCAGUGGGAAUAUCUAGACAGGACAAUUUUUGGCCUAUUUCAGAAAAUAGCAAGUGCAUUUAUAUUUUGACCCACUGGGGCAAUUUUGGUGUAUUUAAUAAUGUGACAUAUUUUACAUUUGGUGCAACAAUCCCACUUAUCAAAAUGUAUUUUGCCAAUAGAAAGCAAAUGUUAUAUAUACAAACUACUAAUUGCAAUAUAGGUUGAAUUGUGAAGCUUUAGAAUUGCUCAACCUAAAUUGACAUAGGAGGUAUUGAUUCUUUCUAGAGCCUGUGAGGAUGGGAAAGGAGACAGAGGGGACAGGAGUGAGUGCAAUGCUUCUCAGUAUAACUUGGACAAAAUUGUUUCAAUAGUUAUUUUUCUUAUUGUGUACUUAUGUAUUCUUUUUGUGUGAAAAUUUGGUGACUGUUGUGACCUGACUGAUAUUUUGAACAGAUAUUUUAAUACUAUGAAAGUGUAUUACCUUUUCAAAACCACAGUAAAAUAGAAAUAUGAAGUUUGUAACAUAAUAUAGUAAAAGACCAAUUCAAAAACAAAACACAUGUUAAUUUAAUGGUGUUUAAUACUAUGUUUAAAAGUUAGAAAACUCAAAACUACUCUACUAUUAUGGGAAGAAGUAGAGGGGCUUGCAUAAUUUUUGUUUAUCUUUAAACCACUUGUUGAAAUUUGAUAAGGUUUUAAUUAAUGAGCACAAUACAGGCUGGCAGCUACUCAGAUUUAUUAGUAGAGACAGAGCUGUGCACCACAGUGGACACUGCUUCUGUUCUGGGCUCUCUACGGUCUUCAUAGGCUGGCCUCUAUAACAUAGCCUACAACAGUGCUACCUACAAUGAGCUCAGGUCCUGCUACCUACUCAAUUCUCAAAGCUCCCCUGUACAUUUGAACACCACAGAGAGCCUUUGCAGUCAGAGUUCACAAAUGAAACCUUUUCCUUAUUAUUCAAAGAACACUUGGACAGCUCUAGGCAGGACCUUAACAGCCCUUCCCCUCCAGACUGAAGAUGUUAGCUUUCUCUGUGGGCAUUCUCCAAAGGAAGUAUGGAAAACCCAGGUAUUGUGAAAAUCUGUGCUGUAUCACUAAGAAUGAGAUAGUUUUCAAAUAUGACACUGAUUAUAUUCUCGUUAUUUGCAGAUGACGUGAUUUGAAUUACUAUGUAGUUUGGAUUUUCCCCACGGAAUUUCUGGUUUUGUUGUUGUUGUUAUCAUUAUUGUUGUUUGUUUGUUUUUAAUAUUCUUCAUGCAAUCAUUUGCCAUUUUUAGGUGGCCAAUGUAGAAGAAGCACUUAAUUGACAUGAGAUAGUAAGAUAUAUACCUCACCUAAGUAAAAAGAUUUGGUUUCAUAAAGAUCUCAUCAAGUUAUCUAGGAGGAGUCCUUCAAAUGUGAAAGUCGGUUUGGUUAAUACUGCCAAGGCUUUCAGAAAAUAAAAUGGAUAUGUAAGAUAGAAUCAUUCUUUUAUAGUUCCCAUUAGUAGUCAAUGUGGGAACAAAAUAUAACGCUGUAAAUCCUUCUGAGGUAACUAAAUAAAAAGGCUCUCACAAAGGUCAGUUUUACAGCCAUCAAUUUGCUGUGAUGGGACAUUUGGUUGCCAAAGGAAGCAACAAAUACAGCCCCCAAUUAUGGUAACACUAAAGAAACAACAUGCUGCUAUGGCAAGGGGUGCUUUGUGGAGACUUAAACUGACACCGCGUACACAAGACAGCCUGUAAGUAGCAGUGUGGAUGUUCUGCUAACAGCAAUUCCUGUGCAAGGGCUUUGCAAGAGAUGAAUGGCUAUGACUGUUGCACUGCAGUGAAAUAGAUCUGCCACAGUCACCACAGUAAGUUACAAUGGGCAUUUGAAAUAUAUGCAAAAAUAAAAAGGAAAGAUGGUAGUUUCAUGAGCAAUUAAUGUGAUCCAUAAUUACCAUGUACAAACAAAGAAACCACUGGAGAACAGCAGCACAAUAAUUAGAUCUGAGGGCAUUAAUCUCCUGAAUGGCAAGGAUACAAUUUUUAUAAAAACAACAGUUCAAACAGUGGCACAAUGUAAAAGUAUAGAGGCUGCUAAUAUGUACAGUGGCAUCUUUUAUUAGGGACAUGUGCAACUUUAAACAUCACAAAAGCAUUAAACAUCUGAGCAAUAGCAUGGCCCUUCCCACCUCCUUCUCUAUCUGGUCCUCUUGUAUUUUAUCUACAGAUAGGAAUAGGCUCUUAUGUAGAUAUGCUUAGGGCCUCUUGGAAUUUGUGCUUCUAUUCAAAUUCACUUGUUAAACCGAAUGCAAAGUGAUAUUCAUGUGUACAAAUGGCUUCGGGGCCUAAGUGACAAUUGUCCUACUUAAAUACAUCAACAGUGGCACUGAUAUUGAAAAAAUAUGACCACCAAGUAAGACUUCUGAAACCACUCUUCUCAAGAAUCAGUGAAACACUAAAAUGGCUACUUUUAACAGCAUAAAAGAACAAUUAAAAAUAAAAUAAUUUAUACUACCAGUACCAAGAAAAACCCGCUAUAACAUUUUAGUAUAUCUUUUCACACUUUCUAUUAUUUUCUAUACUCCAUCUGUGUACAUGUACAUAAAUAUAUUAAUAUAUUGCAUAUAUCAUGUUUUAUUAUUUAUAGUCAUCAUGUAAUAAAUUAGAAGUAUUUUCCAC
This is a non-coding RNA of Rattus norvegicus (Norway rat), 11187 nucleotides long. Lineage: Eukaryota; Metazoa; Chordata; Mammalia; Rodentia; Muridae. The record is from RefSeq and is a predicted model, not a curated record.